UGAGAAGACUGUGGGUGUGGGCGGCAAGCUGGACAACAUCCUCACGGUCAUCCGGAUCGCCUUUUUCUUUGAAGACACGGCCUUGAUGAAGAAGCACAUCGACCGAGCGAAGGUUGAACUUGGCAAAGGAGGUGAUUGGGAGAGGCGAAACAAGCUGAAGGUCUACGAGGGGAUCUACCUCAUGAUUUCCAG
Molecule: small nuclear RNA, 192 nt
Filed under: uncultured Symbiodinium
Lineage: Eukaryota; Dinophyceae; Suessiales; Symbiodiniaceae
Description: partial Dictyostelium signal recognition particle
Source: RNAcentral